UGCGUAACGGCGUGGGAAUCUGCCUUUAGGUUCGGAAUAACACUUAGAAAGGGGUGCUAAUACCGGAUGAUGUCUUCGGACCAAAGAUUUAUCGCCCUUAGAUGGGCCCGCGUUGGAUUAGCUAGUUGGUGAGGUAAAGGCCUACCAAGGCGACGAUCCAUAGCUGGUCUGAGAGGAUGAUCAGCCACACUGGGACUGAGACACGGCCCAGACUCCUACGGGAGGCAGCAGUGGGGAAUAUGGACAAUGGCGAAAGCCUGAUCCAG
This 266-nucleotide ribosomal RNA is filed under the name uncultured Sphingomonas sp. RNAcentral describes it as "partial 16S ribosomal RNA". It matches the Rfam family "Bacterial small subunit ribosomal RNA", at positions 107 to 391 of the family's 1533-position model. Lineage: Bacteria; Pseudomonadati; Pseudomonadota; Alphaproteobacteria; Sphingomonadales; Sphingomonadaceae. The record is from RNAcentral.